Molecule: signal recognition particle RNA, 268 nt
Filed under: Candidatus Schekmanbacteria bacterium GWA2_38_9
Lineage: Bacteria; Candidatus Schekmaniibacteriota
Also listed under: 3 other names
Description: signal recognition particle sRNA large type
Rfam family: Bacterial large signal recognition particle RNA
About the family: The signal recognition particle (SRP) is a universally conserved ribonucleoprotein involved in the co-translational targeting of proteins to membranes. Archaeal SRP consists of a 7S RNA and homologues of the eukaryotic SRP19 and SRP54 proteins.
Source: RNAcentral
UCAUGCUAGACGGGGAGCCAGCGAUUCCCUGUAACCCGCAAUUCGCUAUAGCGGGGUCGAAUUCCUACCCGAGGUAAUUCAGACUAAAAGAGGGCGUGAGGGGGGGAGUGUUGAGAGUUGGGUCCCAUGCAAUAGGGGCUUGUGAACCUGGUCAGGACGGGAACGUAGCAGCCAUAAGCAGGAUUUCCCUAUGUGUUGUGGGUUUACCUAAUUUGAGCUUAUUCUCUCAAAAGUGCUUUGGUUUAAAUUAUCAGAGGUAGGUGCAUGA